ACGGAGGAUGCGAGCGUUAUCCGGAUUUAUUGGGCUUAAAGGGUGCGUAGGCGGGCUAUUAAGUCAGCUGUGAAAGUUUGCGGCUCAACCGUAAAAUUGCAGUUGAUACUGGUAGACUUGAGUAUAGUGGAGGUUGGCGGAAUUCGUGGUGGAGCGGUGAAAUGCUUAGAUAUCACAAAGAACUCCUGUUGCGAAGGCAGCUGACUGUCCUAAAACUGACGCUGAGGCGCGAAAGUGUGGGUAUCAAACAG
RNAcentral lists this ribosomal RNA (251 nucleotides) under uncultured bacterium. Its description in RNAcentral is "partial 16S ribosomal RNA". It matches the Rfam family "Bacterial small subunit ribosomal RNA", at positions 525 to 775 of the family's 1533-position model. The record is from RNAcentral.